CGCCUGUUUAUUAAAAACAUGGUUUUUUAUUUUUUUUAAAAAAUUAAACCUGCCCACUGAUUUUAAUUUAAUGGCCGCAGUAUUUUAACUGUGCAAAGGUAGCAUAAUCAUUAGUUUAUUAAUUGUAAUCUAGAAUGAAUGGUUUAAUGAAAUAUAUAUUUUUUUAUUUUUAAUUAUUAAAUUUUAUUUAUUAGUUAAAAAGCUGAUUUAAUAUUAUAAGACGAGAAGACCCUAAAGAAUUUUAUAAUUUUAAAAUUUUAAUUAAUUUUAUUAUUAAAUUUAAAUUUAUUUAUUAUUUUAUUGGGGAGAUAUAAAAAUUUUAUAAACUUUUUAUUAAAUAUUCAAUAAUAAUUGUUAAUUUGAUCUUUUUAUAUAGAUUAAAAAUUUAAAUUACCUUAGGGAUAACAGCAUAAUAAAUUUAAAAAGUUCUUAUUUUUAAAUGAGUUUAUGACCUCGAUGUUGGAUUAAAAAAAUUUUUAUAUGGAGAUAUAUAAAUAAUAAGUCUGUUCGAC
This 512-nucleotide ribosomal RNA is filed under the name Polystepha sp. Polsp141. RNAcentral's name for it is "partial large subunit ribosomal RNA". The record is from RNAcentral. Lineage: Eukaryota; Metazoa; Arthropoda; Insecta; Diptera; Cecidomyiidae.